This 402-nucleotide ribosomal RNA is filed under the name uncultured bacterium. Its description in RNAcentral is "partial 16S ribosomal RNA". It matches the Rfam family "Bacterial small subunit ribosomal RNA", at positions 360 to 776 of the family's 1533-position model. The record is from RNAcentral.
AAUAUUGCGCAAUGGGGGAAACCCUGACGCGGCAACGCCGCGUGAGUGAAGAAGGCCUUCGGGUCGUAAAACUCUGUCAUUGGGGAAGAAAAAGAUGACGGUACCCAAUGAGGAAGCCCCGGCUAACUACGUGCCAGCCGCCGCGGUAAUACGUAGGGGGCAAGCGUUGUCCGGAAUUACUGGGCGUAAAGGGUGCGUAGGCGGCCGUUUAAGUCAGAUGUGAAAUACCACGGCUCAACUGUGGGGGUGCAUUUGAAACUGGAUGGCUUGAGUGCAGGAGAGGAAAGUGGAAUUCCUAGUGUAGCGGUGAAAUGCGUAGAGAUUAGGAGGAACACCAGUGGCGAAGGCGACUUUCUGGACUGUAACUGACGCUGAUGCACGAAAGCGUGGGGAGCGAACAGG